ACGAGCGUUGAAAAGCUCGGGGAUGACUUGUGGAUAGGGGUGAAAUUCCAAUCGAACCCGGAGAUAGCUGGUUCUCCCCGAAAUAGCUUUAGGGCUAGCCUCAAGCGUAGAGAAACGGAGGUAGAGCACUGAAUGUCCUAGGGGGUAUUGCACUUACCGAAGACUAUCAAACUCCGAAUGCCGUUUUCUUUUACUUGGGAGUCAGACUGUGGGUGAUAAGAUUCAUAGUCAAAAGGGCAACAGCCCAGAUCGUCAGCUAAGGUCCCUAAAUGUACGUUAAGUGGUAAAGGAUGUGGGAUUGCACAGACAACCAGGAUGUUGGCUUAGAAGCAGCCACUCAUUUAAAGAGUGCGUAAUAGCUCACUGGUCGAGUGAUUCUGCGCCGAAAAUUUCCGGGGCUAAAACUUACUACCGAAGCUACGGCAUCAUUAUGAUGGGUAGGGGAGCUUUCUAUGCGGCUUGAAGCAUGACCGUAAGGACAUGUGGACAGUAUACGAGUGAGAAUGUUGGCAUGAGUAGCGAGACGUGGGUGAGAAUCCCACGGGCCGUAAACCCAAGGUUUCCAGGGGAAGGUUCGUCCGCCCUGGGUUAGUCGGGACCUAAGCCGAGGCCGAAAGGCGUAGGUGAUGGACAACAGGUUGAUAUUCCUGUACCGCCAAUAAGCGUUUGAGAGAUGGAGUGACACAGUAGGAUAAGCUAACCGUACUGUUGGUUAUGUACGGCUAAGCAUUGAGGCAGUCUAAAUAGGCAAAUCCGUUUAGACAAUGCUAGGAUGUGAUGGGGAAGCCCUUCGGGGCGAAGUAGCUGAUUUCACACUGUCAAGAAAAGCUUCUAUCGAGUUUAAAGGCGCCCGUACCGUAAACCGACACAGGUGGGUGAGGAGAGUAUCCUAAGGCCAGCGAGAGAACUAUUGUUAAGGAACUCGGCAAAAUGACCCCGUAACUUAGGGAGAAGGGGUGCCUGUCUAUGACAGGCCGCAGAGAAUAGGCCCAAGCGACUGUUUACCAAAAACACAGGUUUCUGCUAAGUCGCAAGACGAUGUAUAGGAGCUGACGCCUGCCCGGUGCUGGAAGGUUAAGGGGAUCUGUUAGAGCAAUCGAAGCAGUGAACUUAAGCCCCAGUAAACGGCGGCCGUAACUAUAACGGUCCUAAGGUAGCGAAAUUCCUUGUCGGGUAAGUUCC
This 1182-nucleotide ribosomal RNA is filed under the name human gut metagenome. RNAcentral's name for it is "bacterial LSU rRNA". It matches the Rfam family "Bacterial large subunit ribosomal RNA", at positions 782 to 1984 of the family's 2925-position model. The record is from RNAcentral.